GCCAUAUGACUGAUGAAAUGUAUCAAUUAGUUCUUUUCAUCUUUUGGAACAUAAAAUGCCAACUCCCCCCCCCCCCCCCCCCGACCGUGGGGGAUAACGCAGCGAAAGCUGUGUUAAUACCGCGUACGAUCUACGGAUGAAAGCGGGGGAUCGCAAGACCUCGCGCGGACGGAGCGGCCGAUGGCAGAUUAGGUAGUUGGUGGGAUAAAAGCUUACCAAGCCGACGAGCUGUAGCUGGUCUGAGAGGACGACCAGCCACACUGGGACUGAGACACGGCCCAGACUCCUACGGGAGGCAGCAGUGGGGAAUUUUGGACAAUGGGGGAAACCCUGAUCCAGCCAUGCCGCGUGCAGGAUGAAGGCCUUCGGGUUGUAAACUGCUUUUGUACGGAACGAAAAUGUCCUUUCUAAUAAAGAGGGCUCAUGACGGUACCGUAAAGAAUAAGCACCGGUUAACUACGUGCCAGCAGCCGCGGNNNNNNNNNNNNNNN
Molecule: non-coding RNA, 491 nt
Filed under: Vitis vinifera (wine grape)
Lineage: Eukaryota; Viridiplantae; Streptophyta; Magnoliopsida; Vitales; Vitaceae
Description: Bacterial small subunit ribosomal RNA
Rfam family: Bacterial small subunit ribosomal RNA
Source: Rfam by way of RNAcentral